GUUAACAUGGCUGAUUAUAGGCAAUAAAUUGUAAAUUUAUUUAUGAACAAAAGUUCUGUUAACA
RNAcentral lists this transfer RNA (64 nucleotides) under Crypsis chinensis. Its description in RNAcentral is "tRNA-Tyr". Lineage: Eukaryota; Metazoa; Arthropoda; Insecta; Coleoptera; Tenebrionidae. The record is from RNAcentral.